Molecule: long non-coding RNA, 1544 nt
Organism: Macaca mulatta (Rhesus monkey)
Lineage: Eukaryota; Metazoa; Chordata; Mammalia; Primates; Cercopithecidae
Source: RefSeq, a predicted model, not a curated record
GGAGAGCAUCUCGUUGGGGGAGGCAGGAGGGACAGGCAGGGUGAGGGUCAGAGGAAGGAACAGGUGGGGUGAGGGACAGGCGGGGUGAGGGCAGCAUCUGGAGUGGGUGCUGCAGCAGGCCAGACACCUUUUCCAGCCUCCACUGCUCACUGGCAGCACCAACGGGGCAGCACUGAGUGCGUCUAAGCAGGACGAUGAAACAUCAGUGGGGCUUGGCCCGGCUGGGUGGAGACUUUACUAAGUAAAUAGGCCAGGGCAGUGGCUCACGCCUGUAAUCCCAGCACUUUGGGAGGUCGAGGUGGGUGGAUCACCUGAGGACAGGAGUUCGAGACCAGCCUGGCCAACAUGAAGAAACCCUGUCUCUACCAAAAAUUCCUAAACUAGCUGGGUAUGGUGGUGAGCACCUAUAAUCCCAGCUACUCAGGUGGCUGAGGCAGGAGAAUCGCUUGAACCUGGGAGGCAGAGGUUGCAGUGAGCCAAGAUUGUGCCACUGUACUCCAGCCUGGGUGACAGGGUGAAACUGUCUCAAAGAAAAAAAAAAUAGAAAACCAGAAUAAACCAGGUGGUCCUGAGAAACCCAGAGACUCAAAUAUGGUGGGGGGUUCUCUGCAGGGCCCACAGAGCCAGUGAGCCCUGCCCCCAUGCACAGCCCCUUCCAGGGGAACUCUGGCCGCCUCUCGUAGAGCUCCAGCUGGUGCAGAAAGCGCUUAGAGGCAAACAUCAGAAUCGUUGGUGCAGGUUCCUCCUGGCGCUGCCAGCCCACCCCAGGUGCCUGCUGAGCUUUUGCUGAGUCUGUACUUUCUUGCCCCAGUGCAGCCACAGCCGUGGAGCCUUCAGUGUGCAGAGAACACAGGCCAUGAGCGCAGAAGCUUCCAGAACAAGAGUGACGCUGCUCCAGCAGAGCUCUCAGUCAGGAGGGCAGGGCCAUGAGAAACAAGCGGGAGACCAGGAGGCCAUGAGGCUCUGCAUGUGGAUCCCUGAACCAAGGCCACCGAGCCGUCCACAUGGACUGAACAGGCUGCACUGGGCCAUCGGGCUUGCUCAGGAAGCCUGGGCAAAGGAGGGUACCGGGUGCACAGAAACCUGGCGGGAAGGGCCGCAGGCCUGCUGCACUUGCCAGCAGCCACGAGGUUCUCGUGGAACAGAAGGAAUGAAGACCUCCUGGACUACAGGUGCCACCAGAUGCCAGGGCUUCAGUCUGGCCGUGCUGCCCCGUGCACCGGAGGCUCCGGCCUGGCCGCGCUGCCCUGUGGACUGGAGAUGCGGUGGGCUUGGGAUUCCCACCUGCACAAGGAGAAGGAAGGGGAGGAAACCCCCCUGAGGGCUGGCACUGAAACCGGCCGCCCGCGUGGGGCAGGGAGACCUUAUUUACACUUUAUUGACAGACACAACACGUAUGUACAUGCGUCGCAGCACAGGCCCUGUGGGCAAGACCGGACGCUCAUGAUCCCAGGGAUAAAAAAUCUCUCCGCGAGCGGGCGGGGGGCCCGGGCGGGGGGAGUCCGCUCCCCAGGGCACCAUUCGCUUAAAGUGUGUUAAUAACU